AAGCAGAUACACUGCUAUGAACAGAAAGUCCUGGUGCAAGUCUCCGGGGUUUUCCCGAGGCCCCUCUAUGUCCUUUUCUUAUGACUUCAUUUAGUUAUUUGAGGCUUCCAAGGAUCUUUGUAAUAAAGAUAAGGUAAGUGAAUUUUCUCAUCGUUUUCUGAAUUCAUUCAAGUUGAAUUUUAGAAAUUUACCUGAAACAUCUCUGCUUCCCCAAGAUCCAAGUCUAUGCUCUACCAGCUUUAUUAGAUAGCAGUAGCAGAUGAGAGGGAAAUCCUGUUGGCCAGGUGUUGGCGGUACAGAAGGAAGAAAAGCAACGUCAGAGAAAUGUGCAUUUGAGCGAGCAUCCGGAUGGACUACCAGGGAUCCCUGGGAAAAAAACUUGUGGAGGGCUGAUGAUGUAGCCGGAAGGAUGCAUGCUGUCAAGACGAACCACCUGGGUUUGAUCCUUGGGACCCCGCAUAAUGGAAGAACAGAGCUGACUCCAGCAAGUUGUCCUCUGACCUCCACUUGAGUUCACACACACACACACACACACACACACACACACACACACACAAUGUAAAAAAAAACUGGCAUAGUACUUAAAAAAUACCAACAGAAUCACAAUUGCAACUAAUCCCACCAUCUUAAAUUCUGUUUCACACACACACACACCACACACACACACACGACCUGUCUCGCCUGUUUGAAAACACUGGAUUGUAACGUGAUUGUACCUGUAAAGUGACCGCUAGAGCGUUUCAGGGAGAAUUGUCAUCUAAACUCAAGGAAAAAUCAGAAACAGCAAUUCAGAAUCUCAGAACCUCCUGCUUCUCUAUCCCCCGAGCAAUGGAAAUAGAAGAUUUAAUUACAGAUACCAGGGUUUAACCUUACCAUGGAGGUGUACUCUAAGAUGCUCAAUCCAUUUUCAUGAAUAGCCAGCCACACAAAAGUAUUGCCAGAUGACGAUGGAGCUAU
Non-coding RNA from Myodes glareolus (Bank vole), 957 nucleotides. The record is from RefSeq and is a predicted model, not a curated record. NCBI's taxonomy places the organism in Eukaryota, Metazoa, Chordata, Mammalia, Rodentia, Cricetidae.